AGAAACUUAGGAUAAAACUUUUAAACCAGGGGCCUUCAAAGCCCAAAAUAGGGACACACCCCCCUAGUUUCUG
Molecule: transfer RNA, 73 nt
Filed under: Microlophus atacamensis
Lineage: Eukaryota; Metazoa; Chordata; Lepidosauria; Squamata; Tropiduridae
Description: tRNA-Trp
Source: RNAcentral